Molecule: long non-coding RNA, 274 nt
Filed under: Manihot esculenta (cassava)
Lineage: Eukaryota; Viridiplantae; Streptophyta; Magnoliopsida; Malpighiales; Euphorbiaceae
Description: long non-coding RNA (MESC_LNC005064)
Source: RNAcentral
CUGGAUAUGGCUCUGGAAACUGGGCUGGGCCGAGAGUCGGGCCGGAUGCUGGACCUGAGUGGAGAGGGCCUAUUAGUCGCGGACUGGGCUGAUUCUGAGUGAAGAAGCUGGGUUGAUCCCGGCCUUGAAGGUUAAAAUGGCCGGGCUUGUUGUACAUAUCAGGUGCGUGGGCCUCCACGUUAUGGGCCUUCGGCUGUGGUCAAGCCCUCGAUCUGGGGUAGAGAAAUCCAGCGGUCAUCACAUUUAAUUGAAAAAAAAUUAUAUUUCUUUCGCU